GUUAGGGUGACCGGUCGUGGGGAGGAAGCGUGGAGCGAAACCGCGAGCCCGAUGAACAAGAACCGGAUAGAAGGCGUUGUCGAUCAGGGCGAGCGGGCAAACAACCGCAAAGCUGUUGUGACCAAGGGGCGAUGACGUAGAUCCGGCGGUUGUGCCGUGAAGGAAGCCGAC
Molecule: non-coding RNA, 171 nt
Filed under: Paraburkholderia hospita
Lineage: Bacteria; Pseudomonadati; Pseudomonadota; Betaproteobacteria; Burkholderiales; Burkholderiaceae
Also listed under: 1 other name
Source: RNAcentral